Molecule: ribosomal RNA, 602 nt
Filed under: Burkholderia sp. N2b21_1
Lineage: Bacteria; Pseudomonadati; Pseudomonadota; Betaproteobacteria; Burkholderiales; Burkholderiaceae
Also listed under: 189 other names
Description: bacterial SSU rRNA
Rfam family: Bacterial small subunit ribosomal RNA
Source: RNAcentral
UGUGAAGAAGGCCUUCGGGUUGUAAAGCACUUUUGUCCGGAAAGAAAACGUCUUGGUUAAUACCCGAGGCGGAUGACGGUACCGGAAGAAUAAGCACCGGCUAACUACGUGCCAGCAGCCGCGGUAAUACGUAGGGUGCGAGCGUUAAUCGGAAUUACUGGGCGUAAAGCGUGCGCAGGCGGUCUGUUAAGACCGAUGUGAAAUCCCCGGGCUUAACCUGGGAACUGCAUUGGUGACUGGCAGGCUUUGAGUGUGGCAGAGGGGGGUAGAAUUCCACGUGUAGCAGUGAAAUGCGUAGAGAUGUGGAGGAAUACCGAUGGCGAAGGCAGCCCCCUGGGCCAACACUGACGCUCAUGCACGAAAGCGUGGGGAGCAAACAGGAUUAGAUACCCUGGUAGUCCACGCCCUAAACGAUGUCAACUAGUUGUUGGGGAUUCAUUUCCUUAGUAACGUAGCUAACGCGUGAAGUUGACCGCCUGGGGAGUACGGUCGCAAGAUUAAAACUCAAAGGAAUUGACGGGGACCCGCACAAGCGGUGGAUGAUGUGGAUUAAUUCGAUGCAACGCGAAAAACCUUACCUACCCUUGACAUGGUCGGAAGUC